UCCAUUUUAGAAUAAGGUUGUAACGUAACAAAAUAUGAAAAAAGUCAAGGGGUUUGAAUACUUUCCGAAGGCACUGUUACAUGUCUGUCAUUGAAAAACCCCAUGCAACCCCAUGAAAAAACACAUCUCUUUCAUAAGUUCUUCAAAAAAAUAACAGCUAAUUUACAAACAUUUCUGAAAAUGGAUAUAUAGGGUUUGGAAUUAAACUCUUAAUUUACGUUACUUAUUGAUUGAUUGAUUUUACAUAACUAGCCUCGUCGAAUACCAGGCUUCCCUAAUCAGGUAAGCCUGGGGAAGUCAAUGGUAGAAAGUGUCUAAAAAGGGUUGGAGACCCAGUGUAAAUCAGUGACGCCUGGCAACACGUCAAACCCAUCAACUCCCUUGCUUGGGCAGAGUUCCAAAGCGAGAGAAAAUAUGCUCUGACGUCUGAGUGAAAAGUUUCCCACUCACAGUCUCACACAGUAUGUUGCCUGACUAUAAUAUUUUAUCUUGAUACGUUAAUAAAUACAUACUGUGCUCAUUUUGGCAUGUUUAACUGUCUAGAAUAUCCAUUGUAAUGUGCGUAGACCGUAGACUAACUAACAAAGAAUUGGUAGCUAACUAGCUACCCACGAACAUUGAUUAUUAUGUUACAAGCUUGUUUUUGCUUUAUGUAGUUAUCUUGUUUUAUCUCUAUUGGUCAAAGGUAAUACAGUAGCACGGGAGUGUGCUUCUCAAAUGUACAUUUUCAUGCGUUCUCCACACUCGUCCUCACACGAACCUUCUAAAUAAAACGUCAUCGGAGUGACACACGUCAUAACAAGCGGCACCCAAUCUACGGGCAUGUGGGGGGAGGGUUCUUGAAAUGUAAAAUAAAUGCAGCGCUCAAAUCUAGCCAUUUCGGCUAAUACAAACAUCUUCAGACUUCCAAAGGAGCGGCGUAACACGAGACUAGUACAUUACAUUACAUCUACACACAGUAUUUUACAUAUCUGCACUAAGUAUUUAUUUUCUCUGAAACUCAUUGAUGACAAUAACACCAUUAUCUUACGGUACUAUCAACCAGCGGUGUGGACUCGAGUCACAUGACUUGGACUCGAGUCAGACUCGAGUCACAAAUAUGAUGAUUUUAGAAUUGACUUGACAAAAUCAAUAAAGGCUUGCAACUCGACUUUGACUUUAACACCAAUGACUCGUGACUUAACUUGGACUUGUCUUUUGACUCAAACUGACUUGAUAAGCCCAAUUAUUAAAAAUGAUGCUUUUAAAAAAAGGGUGCAGCGCAUCAACUCUUCAUUUAAUGGAUUACAGUUUGAAUUUGACAGCAGCCAAUCAAAUUGUGCCAGUGGAGAAAAAGUUGUGCGUGGCAGUGCAGAGGAACGUCGGCAGGUGAAUUCAGACAGAGCCCUUGGAAAGAUGAUAACCAAAAUUAUUAUUUUGGGAUAUAAAGACUACGCUGUAGUCAACAAAAAAUGUAUUGCAACUUGCCAAACAUGCGUGAAGAAAAUUACAAACGGAGGCGCGACAACUUACAACUUUGUUUGACAUUGGAAGCUGCACAAAGAAUGGUAAGUUGUGGCUAAUAUAGCCGACAGCUAUAUAUAACUUUGCUUGUGUAGCAUGUAGGCUAACGUAACGUUAAAUCAAUGAGCCUCCACACAGUCAGUCAGUGCGGGAAAGUGAUCACACACAGAGUGUGUGUGUGCGCGUGCGUUAAGGUUGGACGAUUGUGUACAAGCCUACAGCACAUUGCCCACACUCCAGCUGGUGGUGGGAGAUGGCUUGAAAUAAACAAAAGUAAUGAUGACUAUUUCAAAGUUAUCAAAUAUCAGCUCACUGCUGCAUACAAGCACAACAUUCAAAGAGGUGUUUGAGGCUGAAUUUGGGGGAAAAGGCAUCCCUGCUGCUGUCAACACAAGAUGGAACUCAACACUGAGACAAGUGAAGGCAGUUAUCCAAUGUGACCAUCUAAAGCUCUAUCAUAUUCUAGAAAAGACUGGGCACAAUGAGUUGUUCACAGUACGGGAGACAUCCUGAAGCCUUUUGGAGAAGCAACAGAUUUGACACACGGGGAGAAGAUAGUCACAAUCAGUUCUGUUGUUCCCUUGGUCCUGUCCAUGAAUCACCACCUGGAGCAGCGGAAGCCUCAAGUCCAUUUCCUGAGUGGCCUGGUCAGAAGUCUCCAGGCAUCCCCGAACAAAAGAUUUCUUGGAAUCUUCAUCAAUGUGAAAAUGGCCAGGACACAAGAUGGAAUCACUGCCCCCUUUUCAGAUCCAGUCUACCUCAAAGCAGCUGCCUUGGAUCUGGCUUUUUCUCUGAUGUGGGUGGAGCACCAUGUGCUGGUCAAAGAGGAGGUGGCACAAAGAGUGAAAGUUACUGAGUCUGCAGGAUGCUGCAGGGACUGAGCAAGCUGUGCCUCUUGUUGAUGAGGAAGAGCGAGAGGACCAUAGCCUUGGACAAUUAAAAGGGCUUUUUGCAGCACACUGUAAGAGGUAGAAGAAAGCUGUUGGGACCACUCCAGCACUACAGCUAAGUCACUACCUUGACAUAUGCGAAGGACAGAAUGCCCUCUUGUUCUGGGCAAUGAACAUGAAGGCUCUUCCUUCGCUGUCCCGAGUGGCCAUCAGGGUCUUGGCAGUGCCUGUCUCCAGUGCUCCGGUGGUGCGUCUCUUCAGCCAUGGUGGCAUCAUACUGCGGCCUCAUCGUGCACAAAUGACUGACAGACUUUUAUCGAAUUUGGUCUUUUGCAAAUGCAAUGCAUCGUAGGGCCCUGAGAUAAGAUAAAAAAUGUAACUGUUUAUGCAUUAACACACACACACAUGUAGUCUCCAUGUUCAGGUUUUAUCUCCCAUCUUUGGGAUCUGUAUUUUUUUUAUCAGACAUUCAGGCCAGUGUUCAAAUUGUAGGCCUACUUGAAGUUCAGUAGCAGUUGUUUUGAUGUACCUUUUAAUAAAUGAUUGUAACUUUAUGGCA
Salmo salar (Atlantic salmon) is the source of this 2952-nucleotide non-coding RNA. NCBI's taxonomy places the organism in Eukaryota, Metazoa, Chordata, Actinopteri, Salmoniformes, Salmonidae. The record is from RefSeq and is a predicted model, not a curated record.